GACCUAGUGGCGAAGGGAAUCGCACCUGCUUCUGAUUUGUGGUUUCUUUUAACAAGUUCAACGCAGGAGUUCCUGGUUCGAAUCCAGGCUAGGUCA
This is a non-coding RNA of Mycena epipterygia, 96 nucleotides long. The record is from the annotation of a GenBank genome assembly. NCBI's taxonomy places the organism in Eukaryota, Fungi, Basidiomycota, Agaricomycetes, Agaricales, Mycenaceae.